GACGAACGCUGGCGGCGUGCUUAACACAUGCAAGUCGAGCGAUGAAAUCCCUUCGGGGAUGGAUUAGCGGCGGACGGGUGAGUAACACGUGGGUAACCUGCCUCAAAGAGGGGGAUAGCCUCCCGAAAGGGAGAUUAAUACCGCAUAACAUUAGUUUUUCGCAUGGAGAACUAAUUAAAGGAGUAAUCCGCUUUGAGAUGGACCCGCGGCGCAUUAGCUAGUUGGUGAGGUAACGGCUCACCAAGGCGACGAUGCGUAGCCGACCUGAGAGGGUGAUGGGCCACAUUGGAGAUGAGACACGGUCCAGACUCCUACGGGAGGCAGCAGUGGGGAAUAUUGCACAAUGGGCGAAAGCCUGAUGCAGCAACGCCGCGUGAGUGAUGAAGGCCUUCGGGUUGUAAAGCUCUGUCUUUUGGGACGAUAAUGACGGUACCAAGGGAGGAAGCCACGGCUAACUACGUGCCAGCCGCCGCGGUAA
RNAcentral lists this ribosomal RNA (478 nucleotides) under uncultured bacterium. RNAcentral's name for it is "partial 16S ribosomal RNA". It matches the Rfam family "Bacterial small subunit ribosomal RNA", at positions 28 to 523 of the family's 1533-position model. The record is from RNAcentral.